Molecule: ribosomal RNA, 271 nt
Filed under: uncultured archaeon
Lineage: Archaea
Description: partial 16S ribosomal RNA
Rfam family: Archaeal small subunit ribosomal RNA
Source: RNAcentral
CAGCGCCACGAGUGGUAACCACGUUUAUUGGGCCUAAAGCGUCCGUAGCCGGUUUGAUAAAUCUUUUGUGAAAUUGUACAGCUUAACUGUACAGCGUGCAAGAGACACUGUCAAACUUGAGACCGGGAGGAGUCAGAAGUAUUCCAGAGGGAGCGGUAAAAUGUUAUAAUCUCUGGAGGACUACCUGUGGCGAAGGCGUCUGACCAGAACGGAUCUGACGGUGAGGGACGAAAGCCAGGGGAGCGAACCGGAUUAGAUACCCGAGUAGUCC